Molecule: long non-coding RNA, 374 nt
Filed under: Homo sapiens (human)
Lineage: Eukaryota; Metazoa; Chordata; Mammalia; Primates; Hominidae
Description: HSALNT0402854
Source: RNAcentral
GUUCCAAGUGUCCACUUGCAGAUUCUACAAAAAGAGUGUUUCAAAACUGCUCUAUCAAAAGAAAGUUUCAACUCUGUGAAGUGAAUGCACACAUUACAAACAAGUUUCUGAGAAUGCUUCUGUCUAGUUUUUAUGUGAAGAUAUUCCCGUUUCCAACGAAGGCCUCAAAGCAGUCCAAAUAUCCACUAGCAUAUUCUACAAAAAGAGUGUUUCAAAACUGCCCCCAUGAAAAUGAAUAUUCAACUCUGUGAGUAGAAUGCAAACAUCACAAAGAAGUUUCUGAGAAUGCUUUCUCUAGUUUUUAUGUGAAGAUAUUUCCUUUUCCACCAUAGGCCUCAAAGCACUCCAAAUGUCCACUUGCAGAUUCUACAAAA